GGAAUAAGCCGUCCUGCCGCCGCGGUUUUUUAGACCGGGGAGGAAAGUCCGGACAGCGCAGAGUACCGUACUUCCUAACGGGAAGGCAGCACGCCGGAAACGGUUUGCUGACAGCAAGUGCCACAGAAAAUUAUACCGCCUUGGCAUAAAAUUUUAUGCUGAGGUAAGGGUGAAAAGGUGGGGUAAGAGCCCACCGCUCUCCGGGUGACCGCAGAGGCACGGUAAACCUUACGGGCUGAAAGAUCAAAUAGGUGCUGGUUUGUGGGGUUACUCGUCCCCGUCUUCAAGACGCCGGCACGGGUAGAUCGUUAGAGGUUCCGGGUGACCGGAAUCCUGGAUAAAUGGCAGGAACUUUUGUCGACUUAGUUCAAUGAAAGGUACAGAAUCCGGCUUACAGGCUUGUUCUUUUC
Molecule: RNase P RNA, 410 nt
Filed under: Dyadobacter sandarakinus
Lineage: Bacteria; Pseudomonadati; Bacteroidota; Cytophagia; Cytophagales; Spirosomataceae
Description: Dyadobacter sp. Q3-56 RNase P RNA component class A
Rfam family: Bacterial RNase P class A
About the family: Ribonuclease P (RNase P) is a ubiquitous endoribonuclease, found in archaea, bacteria and eukarya as well as chloroplasts and mitochondria. Its best characterised activity is the generation of mature 5'-ends of tRNAs by cleaving the 5'-leader elements of precursor-tRNAs. Cellular RNase Ps are ribonucleoproteins.
Source: RNAcentral